AAACUGUGAAAGUAAAAAAUUGGGAAGUUUGAUGUCAGGAAAAUUAUGAUAUGAAUAAACACUAAAUGAACCAUUUUGCAGCAGCUAGCAAUCCUUAGCUGUUUUAGUCAAUAUUGUUAUGAACAAACACUAAAUGAACCAUUUUACAAUAUAUGAUUCAUUGGAGUUAAUUCAUGAAGUGUAGACCUUCAGAAGAUGGGUGAAGAUGAGUUAUUAGACUCAAGCAAAGAGACAAA
This 236-nucleotide unclassified non-coding RNA is filed under the name Hevea brasiliensis (rubber tree). Lineage: Eukaryota; Viridiplantae; Streptophyta; Magnoliopsida; Malpighiales; Euphorbiaceae. The record is from RNAcentral.